GAUGAAGAACGUAGCGAAAUGCGAAAAGUAAUGUGAAUUGCAGAAUUCAGUGAAUCAUCGAAUCUUUGAACGCACAUUGCGCCCGCUGGUACUCCGGCGGGCACGCCUGUCCGAGCGUCAUUUCAACCCUCAAGCCCUCCUUCGGGAUGGGCCUGGUGUUGGGGCUCGGCCGCCAUCUCCGGCGGCCGUCCCCUAAAUACAGUGGCGGUCACGUCGCGACUCCUUUGCGUAGUAGAAACAUCUCGCUCCGGAUAGCAACGCGGUCCACGCCGUAAAACCCCCAAUUUUCAAUGGUUGACCUCGGAUCAGGUGGGAAUACCCGCUGAACUUAAGCAUAUCAAUAAGCGGAGGA
This 352-nucleotide unclassified non-coding RNA is filed under the name soil metagenome. RNAcentral's name for it is "partial contains 5.8S ribosomal RNA, internal transcribed spacer 2, and large subunit ribosomal RNA". The stretch from base 1 to 120 matches the Rfam family "5.8S ribosomal RNA", at positions 35 to 154 of the family's 154-position model. The record is from RNAcentral.